RNAcentral lists this transfer RNA (94 nucleotides) under Ogataea polymorpha. It matches the Rfam family "tRNA". Rfam says of the family: Transfer RNA (tRNA) molecules are approximately 80 nucleotides in length. Their secondary structure includes four short double-helical elements and three loops (D, anti-codon, and T loops). RNAcentral also lists the same sequence under 2 other names. Lineage: Eukaryota; Fungi; Ascomycota; Pichiomycetes; Pichiales; Pichiaceae. The record is from Rfam by way of RNAcentral.
UCCUUAUUAGCUCAGUUGGUAGAGCGUUCGGCUUUUAAGGAUUCCAAUUCGGAAGUCGACCGAAAUGUCCAGGGUUCGAGCCCCUGAUGAGGAG